This 460-nucleotide ribosomal RNA is filed under the name uncultured bacterium. Its description in RNAcentral is "partial 16S ribosomal RNA". It matches the Rfam family "Bacterial small subunit ribosomal RNA", at positions 338 to 795 of the family's 1533-position model. The record is from RNAcentral.
CCUACGGGAGGUAGCAGUGAGGAAUAUUGGUCAAUGGGCGUAAGCCUGAACCAGCCAAGUCGCGUGAGGGAUGAAGGUUCUAUGGAUCGUAAACCUCUUUUAUCAGGGAAUAAAGUGUGGGACGUGUCCUAUUUUGUAUGUACCUUAUGAAUAAGGAUCGGCUAACUCCGUGCCAGCAGCCGCGGUAAUACGGAGGAUUCAAGCGUUAUCCGGAUUUAUUGGGUUUAAAGGGUGCGUAGGCGGCCUUUUAAGUCAGCGGUGAAAGUCUGUGGCUCAACCAUAGAAUGGCCGUUGAAACUGGGGGGCUUGAGUAUGUUUGAGGCAGGCGGAAUGCGUGGUGUAGCGGUGAAAUGCUUAGAUAUCACGCAGAACCCCGAUUGCGAAGGCAGCCUGCCAAGCCAUGACUGACGCUGAUGCACGAAAGCGUGGGGAUCAAACAGGAUUAGAUACCCUUGUAGUC